GUGCUCACGAUUCAGCAGCACAAAUAUUAAAAUUGGAAUGAUACAGAGAACAUUAGCAUGGCCCCAUGCAAGAGUGGCACACAAACUCAUGAAACGUUAUGUAUAUUU
RNAcentral lists this small nuclear RNA (108 nucleotides) under Moschus moschiferus (Siberian musk deer). The record is from RNAcentral. Lineage: Eukaryota; Metazoa; Chordata; Mammalia; Artiodactyla; Moschidae.